Molecule: transfer RNA, 87 nt
Filed under: Colletotrichum falcatum
Lineage: Eukaryota; Fungi; Ascomycota; Sordariomycetes; Glomerellales; Glomerellaceae
Description: tRNA-Gln
Rfam family: tRNA
About the family: Transfer RNA (tRNA) molecules are approximately 80 nucleotides in length. Their secondary structure includes four short double-helical elements and three loops (D, anti-codon, and T loops).
Source: RNAcentral
GGUCUAUUAGUCUAGUUGGUUAGGACGUCGGAUUCUGAUCGUACUCAGUGUCUUCCGUAGGCCCAGGUUCGAAUCCUGGAUGGACCU